GACGAACGCUGGCGGCGUGCUUAACACAUGCAAGUCGAACGGAAAGGCCCUGCUUUUGUGGGGUGCUCGAUUGGCUAACGGGUGAGUAACACGUGAGUAACCUGCCCUUGACUUUGGGAUAACUUCAGGAAACUGGGGCUAAUACCGGAUAGGAGCUCCUGCUCCAUGGUGGGGGUUGGAAAGUUUCGGCGGUUGGGGAUGGACUCGCGGCUUAUCAGCUUGUUGGUGGGGUAGUGGCUUACCAAGGCUUUGACGGGUAGCCGGCCUGAGAGGGUGACCGGCCACAUUGGCACUGAGAUACGGCCCAGACUCCUACGGGAGGCAGCAGUGGGGAAUAUUGCACAAUGGGCGGAAGCCUGAUGCAGCAACGCCGCGUGCGGGAUGACGGCCUUCGGGUUGUAAACCGCUUUCGCCUGUGACGAAGCGUGAGUGACGGUAAUGGGUAAAGAAGCACCGGCUAACUACGUG
RNAcentral lists this ribosomal RNA (468 nucleotides) under uncultured bacterium. Its description in RNAcentral is "partial 16S ribosomal RNA". It matches the Rfam family "Bacterial small subunit ribosomal RNA", at positions 28 to 507 of the family's 1533-position model. The record is from RNAcentral.